UCGAGGAUCUUCGUCAAUGGGCGCAAGCCUGAACGAGCGAUGCCGCGUGCGCGAUGAAGGCCUUCGGGUUGUAAAGCGCUGUCGAGGGGGAGAAAAGCCCCGCAAGGGGUCUGAUCUAUCCCUGGAGGAAGCUCGGGCUAAGUUCGUGCCAGCAGCCGCGGUAAGACGAACCGAGCGAACGUUGUUCGGAAUCACUGGGCUUAAAGGGCGCGUAGGCGGGCUGUCAAGUCUGGGGUGAAAUCCCGCGGCUCAACCGUGGAACUGCCUCAGAUACUGACGGCCUCGAGGGAGGUAGGGGCGAGCGGAACUCUCAGUGGAGCGGUGAAAUGCGUUGAUAUUGGGAGGAACUCCGGUGGCGAAAGCGGCUCGCUGGGCCUCUUCUGACGCUGAUGCGCGAAAGCUAGGGGAGCAAACGG
RNAcentral lists this ribosomal RNA (416 nucleotides) under uncultured bacterium. Its description in RNAcentral is "bacterial SSU rRNA". It matches the Rfam family "Bacterial small subunit ribosomal RNA", at positions 355 to 775 of the family's 1533-position model. The record is from RNAcentral.